RNAcentral lists this ribosomal RNA (468 nucleotides) under uncultured bacterium. RNAcentral's name for it is "partial 16S ribosomal RNA". It matches the Rfam family "Bacterial small subunit ribosomal RNA", at positions 28 to 507 of the family's 1533-position model. The record is from RNAcentral.
GACGAACGCUGGCGGCGUGCUUAACACAUGCAAGUCGAACGGAAAGGCCCUGCUUUUGUGGGGUGCUCGAGUGGCGAACGGGUGAGUAACACGUGAGUAACCUGCCCUUGACUUUGGGAUAACUUCAGGAAACUGGGGCUAAUACCGGAUAGGAGCUCCUGCUGCAUGGUGGGGGUUGGAAAGUUUCGGCGGUUGGGGAUGGACUCGCGGCUUAUCAGCUUGUUGGUGGGGUAGUGGCUUACCAAGGCUUUGACGGGUAGCCGGCCUGAGAGGGUGACCGGCCCCAUUGGGAUUGAGAUACGGCCCAGACUCCUACGGGAGGCAGCAGUGGGGAAUAUUGCACAAUGGGCGGAAGCCUGAUGCAGCAACGCCGCGUGCGGGAUGACGGCCUUCGGGUUGUAAACCGAUUUCGCCUGUGACGAAGCGUGAGUGACGGUAAUGGGUAAAGAAGCACCGGCUAACUACGUG